RNAcentral lists this ribosomal RNA (439 nucleotides) under uncultured bacterium. Its description in RNAcentral is "partial 16S ribosomal RNA". It matches the Rfam family "Bacterial small subunit ribosomal RNA", at positions 339 to 795 of the family's 1533-position model. The record is from RNAcentral.
CUACGGGGCGCUGCAGUGAGGAAUAUUGCACAAUGGGGGGAACCCUGAUGCAGCAACGCCGCGUGGAGGAUGACGCAUUUCGGUGUGUAAACUCCUUUUAUAUGUCAAGAAAAUGACGGUAGCAUAUGAAUAAGCACCGGCUAACUCCGUGCCAGCAGCCGCGGCAAUAUGGAGGGUGCAAGCGUUACUCGGAAUCACUGGGCGUAAAGGACGCGUAGGCGGGUUGGAAAGUCAGGUGUGAAAUCCUACAGCUUAACUGUAGAACUGCACUUGAAACUUCUAAUCUAGAGUAUGGGAGGGGGAGAUGGAAUUAGUGGUGUAGGGGUAAAAUCCGUAGAUAUCACUAGGAAUACCUAAAGCGAAGGCGAUCUCCUGGAACAUUACUGACGCUAAGGCGUGAAAGCGUGGGGAGCAAACAGGAUUAGAUACCCCUGUAGUC